GGGCAGGGAGAUUGGGGCACACCCCGUGGGAAGAUGCCCGCAGAAGAAGGGGGGAUGGGAAUUCACAUUACUGAGCAUGUGACACAGGCCUGGCACAUUACAUACAUGAUUCCAUGCACGCAGUGCUGGGCAGGGAGCUGGGACACUGUUCCAGGCUCACACAGUGAUGGGUACAUGACCUCGGCAGACACAAAUAAGGCAAAAUCCUGGACUUUGGCAGCAGUUGUUGGAAACAAAACAUCUCUCUCGCCGGUGUGGCUGAAGAGAGGCCACAGCCUGGAGUCGUGAUGCCACAGAGAGAGCCUGCCCAAGACCAGAGCCCAAACAGAGGAAGAGAGAGCCAAGGGCUGGAGAGGGACAGGGCCUGAGGCCAUCACUGAAGUGCUGGGGCCCAGCCA
RNAcentral lists this long non-coding RNA (398 nucleotides) under Pan paniscus (pygmy chimpanzee). RNAcentral's name for it is "lncRNA (ENSPPAG00000044146.1)". Lineage: Eukaryota; Metazoa; Chordata; Mammalia; Primates; Hominidae. The record is from RNAcentral.